UUGUCCAAAAGUGCUUGUAAAUAACACACCUCGGUGCAGAUUCAUUAGCUACAAGGUGGCAGCGACCUGUGUGUCUGUCUAGGUGCUUAUUUAUAGCCAGCCAUUUCUUAUCGUGGUAUUUCUUAAGCUUCGCCAUGUGUGUGAAUGCGAUCUGUCACUAUAACAGUGUUCUUCAGCUAAAGCAAACACUACUACCUGUCCAGAACAGCUUGAGAGCCAAACAUUCCCUAUCUUCCUAGCCUGAGGACAUUUCCAGAAAUGGAAAGUUUGCUCAAGGAAGACCCUCAACCAAGGAAAGAAUUUAGGAGGGGGAAAAAAAAAAAGACAUAUAGAGUCAACACCCCAAGUUGCCCUUUGAGUUAAUUCAGUCUUACACAGAUGGAUUUAAAAUACAGGCUUCAAAUCAACAAAAGCUUAUGGAGGGUCAUUACAUACCAGGCAUGGAGCUGAACACCAACCGGGGAACUAAAACUGAAACAGACACCGUUUCUUUCAUUCCGAAAACGUUUUUGCUGUCUGGCCAGUUUUUCAGCAGGUCACCACAGCAUUCCCCUCAAGUUAGAACACUCAAGCCCUUCUUUCUGACCAAUCUCCUUGAUGCCAGAAUACACAUCUGGCCCAGGAGAAGUAGGUGGUUACACAUUUCCACUCAAUUGGGAAAUUAACAGCCUGUGAUAUAGCAACAUGGGGCUAGCAGGCCUAGAGUCAGAAAGCCUGCUUUCUAGUCUUGUACUUACUGGCCUUACCACCUGGAGCCAGACGAGUACCCUCCCUUGGUCCCCAUAGUUGAAAUGGGGUGCUGCGAGGACCUUGUGAAGUAGGCGGGGCUUGGCAAAAGUAUAGCCAUCCAAGAGAGCAUGGGGGGCUGGGGAGGCGGGGCGGGGAGGGUUGCUGUCUCAUUGGGGGCCAGGUUGUGAUGGGGAUGGGUAAGCUAU
Long non-coding RNA from Perognathus longimembris pacificus (Pacific pocket mouse), 935 nucleotides. RefSeq lists it as uncharacterized. The transcript is spliced from 3 exons. Lineage: Eukaryota; Metazoa; Chordata; Mammalia; Rodentia; Heteromyidae. The record is from RefSeq and is a predicted model, not a curated record.